UGUAGUGGGUGAAAUGCGUAGAUAUCGGGGAGGAACACCAGGUGGGCGAAAGCGGGCCUCCUGGACUGUUUCUGACACUCAGACACGAAAGCUAGGGUAGCAAACGGGGAUUAGAGACCCCGGUAGUCCUAGCUGUAAACGAUGUGAACUUGGCGUCGGCGGGUUCAAAGCCGUCGGGUGCCGAAGCUAACGCGAUAAGUUCACCGCCUGGGGACUACGGGCCGCAAGGUUAAAACUCAAAGGAAUUGACGGGUCCCCGCACAAGCAGCGGGAGCGUGUGGUUUAAUUCGAUGUUACACGAAGAACCUUACCCAGGCUUGACAUGUUGGUGGUAGGGAAGCGAAAGCAGACCGACCCGCAAGGGAGCCUUCACAGGUGUUGCAUGGCUGUCGUCAGCUCGUGUCGUGAGAUGUUCGGUUAAGUCCGCCAACGAGCGCAACCCUCGCCGUAUGUUACAAGUGUCAUACGGGACCGCCGGUAUCAAGCCGGAGGAAGGUGGGGAUGACGUCAAGUCAGCAUGGCCUUUAUGCCUGGGGCUACACACACGCUACAAUGGCCGGUACAAUGGGUCGCUAAGCCGCGAGGUAGAGCCAAUCCCUAAAGCCGGUCUCAGUUCAGAUCACAGGCUGCAACCCGCCUGUGUGAAGUCGGAGUUGCUAGUAAACGCGCGUCAGCUAUAGUGCGUUGAAUACGUUCCCGGGGAUUGUACACACCGCCCGUCACGUCAUGGGAGCUGGCAACACCUGAAGCCGGUAGCCUAACCGCAAGGAGGGCGCCGUCGAAGGUGGGGUUGGUGACUGGACGGUCGUAACAAGGUAA
Molecule: ribosomal RNA, 819 nt
Filed under: uncultured bacterium
Lineage: Bacteria
Description: bacterial SSU rRNA
Rfam family: Bacterial small subunit ribosomal RNA
Source: RNAcentral